This 2899-nucleotide ribosomal RNA is filed under the name Escherichia coli. Its description in RNAcentral is "bacterial LSU rRNA". It matches the Rfam family "Bacterial large subunit ribosomal RNA". Lineage: Bacteria; Pseudomonadati; Pseudomonadota; Gammaproteobacteria; Enterobacterales; Enterobacteriaceae. The record is from RNAcentral.
UUAAGCGACUAAGCGUACACGGUGGAUGCCCUGGCAGUCAGAGGCGAUGAAGGACGUGCUAAUCUGCGAUAAGCGUCGGUGAGGUGAUAUGAACCGUUAUAACCGGCGAUUUCCGAAUGGGGAAACCCAGUGUGUUUCGACACACUAUCAUUAACUGAAUCCAUAGGUUAAUGAGGCGAACCGGGGAACUGAAACAUCUAAGUACCCCGAGGAAAAGAAAUCAACCGAGAUUCCCCCAGUAGCGGCGAGCGAACGGGGAGGAGCCCAGAGCCUGAAUCAGUGUGUGUGUUAGUGGAAGCGUCUGGAAAGGCGCGCGAUACAGGGUGACAGCCCCGUACACAAAAAUGCACAUAUUGUGAGCUCGAUGAGUAGGGCGGGACACGUGGUAUCCUGUCUGAAUAUGGGGGGACCAUCCUCCAAGGCUAAAUACUCCUGACUGACCGAUAGUGAACCAGUACCGUGAGGGAAAGGCGAAAAGAACCCCGGCGAGGGGAGUGAAAAAGAACCUGAAACCGUGUACGUACAAGCAGUGGGAGCCUCUUUAUGGGGUGACUGCGUACCUUUUGUAUAAUGGGUCAGCGACUUAUAUUCUGUAGCAAGGUUAACCGAAUAGGGGAGCCGAAGGGAAACCGAGUCUUAACUGGGCGUUAAGUUGCAGGGUAUAGACCCGAAACCCGGUGAUCUAGCCAUGGGCAGGUUGAAGGUUGGGUAACACUAACUGGAGGACCGAACCGACUAAUGUUGAAAAAUUAGCGGAUGACUUGUGGCUGGGGGUGAAAGGCCAAUCAAACCGGGAGAUAGCUGGUUCUCCCCGAAAGCUAUUUAGGUAGCGCCUCGUGAAUUCAUCUCCGGGGGUAGAGCACUGUUUCGGCAAGGGGGUCAUCCCGACUUACCAACCCGAUGCAAACUGCGAAUACCGGAGAAUGUUAUCACGGGAGACACACGGCGGGUGCUAACGUCCGUCGUGAAGAGGGAAACAACCCAGACCGCCAGCUAAGGUCCCAAAGUCAUGGUUAAGUGGGAAACGAUGUGGGAAGGCCCAGACAGCCAGGAUGUUGGCUUAGAAGCAGCCAUCAUUUAAAGAAAGCGUAAUAGCUCACUGGUCGAGUCGGCCUGCGCGGAAGAUGUAACGGGGCUAAACCAUGCACCGAAGCUGCGGCAGCGACACUAUGUGUUGUUGGGUAGGGGAGCGUUCUGUAAGCCUGUGAAGGUGGCCUGUGAGGGUUGCUGGAGGUAUCAGAAGUGCGAAUGCUGACAUAAGUAACGAUAAAGCGGGUGAAAAGCCCGCUCGCCGGAAGACCAAGGGUUCCUGUCCAACGUUAAUCGGGGCAGGGUGAGUCGACCCCUAAGGCGAGGCCGAAAGGCGUAGUCGAUGGGAAACAGGUUAAUAUUCCUGUACUUGGUGUUACUGCGAAGGGGGACGGAGAAGGCUAUGUUGGCCGGGCGACGGUUGUCCCGGUUUAAGCGUGUAGGCUGGUUUUCCAGGCAAAUCCGGAAAACCAAGGCUGAGGCGUGAUGACGAGGCACUACGGUGCUGAAGCGACAAAUGCCCUGCUUCCAGGAAAAGCCUCUAAGCAUCAGGUAACAUCAAAUCGUACCCCAAACCGACACAGGUGGUCAGGUAGAGAAUACCAAGGCGCUUGAGAGAACUCGGGUGAAGGAACUAGGCAAAAUGGUGCCGUAACUUCGGGAGAAGGCACGCUGAUAUGUAGGUGAAGCGACUUGCUCGUGGAGCUGAAAUCAGUCGAAGAUACCAGCUGGCUGCAACUGUUUAUUAAAAACACAGCACUGUGCAAACACGAAAGUGGACGUAUACGGUGUGACGCCUGCCCGGUGCCGGAAGGUUAAUUGAUGGGGUUAGCGGUAACGCGAAGCUCUUGAUCGAAGCCCCGGUAAACGGCGGCCGUAACUAUAACGGUCCUAAGGUAGCGAAAUUCCUUGUCGGGUAAGUUCCGACCUGCACGAAUGGCGUAAUGAUGGCCAGGCUGUCUCCACCCGAGACUCAGUGAAAUUGAACUCGCUGUGAAGAUGCAGUGUACCCGCGGCAAGACGGAAAGACCCCGUGAACCUUUACUAUAGCUUGACACUGAACAUUGAGCCUUGAUGUGUAGGAUAGGUGGGAGGCUUUGAAGUGUGGACGCCAGUCUGCAUGGAGCCGACCUUGAAAUACCACCCUUUAAUGUUUGAUGUUCUAACGUUGGCCCGUAAUCCGGGUUGCGGACAGUGUCUGGUGGGUAGUUUGACUGGGGCGGUCUCCUCCUAAAGAGUAACGGAGGAGCACGAAGGUUGGCUAAUCCUGGUCGGACAUCAGGAGGUUAGUGCAAUGGCAUAAGCCAGCUUGACUGCGAGCGUGACGGCGCGAGCAGGUGCGAAAGCAGGUCAUAGUGAUCCGGUGGUUCUGAAUGGAAGGGCCAUCGCUCAACGGAUAAAAGGUACUCCGGGGAUAACAGGCUGAUACCGCCCAAGAGUUCAUAUCGACGGCGGUGUUUGGCACCUCGAUGUCGGCUCAUCACAUCCUGGGGCUGAAGUAGGUCCCAAGGGUAUGGCUGUUCGCCAUUUAAAGUGGUACGCGAGCUGGGUUUAGAACGUCGUGAGACAGUUCGGUCCCUAUCUGCCGUGGGCGCUGGAGAACUGAGGGGGGCUGCUCCUAGUACGAGAGGACCGGAGUGGACGCAUCACUGGUGUUCGGGUUGUCAUGCCAAUGGCACUGCCCGGUAGCUAAAUGCGGAAGAGAUAAGUGCUGAAAGCAUCUAAGCACGAAACUUGCCCCGAGAUGAGUUCUCCCUGAGACUUAGAGUCUCCUGAAGGAACGUUGAAGACGACGACGUUGAUAGGCCGGGUGUGUAAGCGCAGCGAUGCGUUGAGCUAACCGGUACUAAUGAACCGUGAGGCUUAACCU